Molecule: ribosomal RNA, 468 nt
Filed under: uncultured bacterium
Lineage: Bacteria
Description: partial 16S ribosomal RNA
Rfam family: Bacterial small subunit ribosomal RNA
Source: RNAcentral
GACGAACGCUGGCGGCGUGCUUAACACAUGCCAGUCGAACGGAAAGGCCCCGCCGUUGUGGGGCGCUCGAGUGGCGAACGGGUGAGUAACACGUGAGUAACCUGCCCUGGACUUUGGGACAACUUCAGGAAACCGGGGCCAACAUCGGAUAGGAGCUCCUGCUGCAUGGUCGGGGCUGGAAAGUUUCGGCGGGUGGCGAUGGACUCGCGGCUUAUCAGCUUGUUGGUGGGGUAGUGGCUUACCAAGGCUUUGACGGGUACCCAACCUGAGAGGGUGAACGGCGACCUUGGGACUGAGAUAAGGCCCAGUCGGCAACGAGAGGCAGAAGUGGAGAAUAUUACACAACGGGCGGAAGCGUGAUGCAGCAACGCCGCGUGCGGAAUGACGGCAUUAGAGUUGUAAACCGAUUUCGCCUGUGACGAAGCGUGAGUGACGGUAAUGGGUAAAGAAGCACCGGCUAACUACGUG